AGGAGGUGACCUCAAGAGUCUAUUGGACUCAUCUUCUAAGAGAGGAGAUAAGAAUGUUAAAGGGAUGUAGUAUUGAUCGGCCGCCCCUUUUAGACUCCUUUAGGGACUCUAAAAAGGGAAAGUAAGGGAUGCUAGCCUGUUAGGAGGUCCUUUUUUAAAUGCAUAUAUUUCUAUUAGAAAUCUGCUAUCUAGCUAGUUUAUAAGAGGUAGGG
This 212-nucleotide long non-coding RNA is filed under the name Elaeis guineensis (African oil palm). Its description in RNAcentral is "long non-coding RNA (EGUI_LNC024333)". The record is from RNAcentral. Lineage: Eukaryota; Viridiplantae; Streptophyta; Magnoliopsida; Arecales; Arecaceae.